UACGUAGGGGGCAAGCGUUGUCCGGAUUUAUUGGGCGUAAAGAGCGUGUAGGCGGCCAUACAGGUCAGCUGUGAAAACUCGAGGCUCAACCUCGAGAUGUCGGUUGAAACCGUAUGGCUAGAGUCCGGAAGAGGAGAGUGGAAUUCCCGGUGUAGCGGUGAAAUGCGCAGAUAUCGGGAAGAACACCCGUGGCGAAGGCGGCUCUCUGGGACGGUACUGACGCUGAGACGCGAAAGCGUGGGGAGCGAACAGG
Molecule: ribosomal RNA, 253 nt
Filed under: uncultured bacterium
Lineage: Bacteria
Description: partial 16S ribosomal RNA
Rfam family: Bacterial small subunit ribosomal RNA
Source: RNAcentral